Herpailurus yagouaroundi (jaguarundi) is the source of this 1374-nucleotide long non-coding RNA. RefSeq lists it as uncharacterized. NCBI's taxonomy places the organism in Eukaryota, Metazoa, Chordata, Mammalia, Carnivora, Felidae. The record is from RefSeq and is a predicted model, not a curated record. The transcript has 3 exons.
AGCUUGUUUGUUGUUACUUUCUGGUGAAAGUUUCCUCGCUGGGGCCGGGCAUUUCUGGAGGACAGCAUUGGGUGGAGCUGAAAAGGAGGGGCCCGCGGGUGCCUGGACCUGGAUGGGGCGGGGUUGACCAAAUCCCUUCCUUUGGAUUCCACCUCCAGCUAGACCCCGUGGAGCCUGGUUUUCCCAUCUCUGCCCCUCUGCUGAGCCGUUCUAGAGCCCCUACCCAUGAUUGUUCUAUCGAAGCUAACGCUUGCCUUCGACUUAUCGUCACGAUAAUCGUUAUCAUCACCAUUGGACUGUGAACCCCCGACCGAACUCUCCCCUGGAACGGCUGUUACUUACAAAUAAUUCCUGUUCUCACUAACAUCGUGACAAGGAGACAGAUGCAACCUGUUCGGGCUCGGUGGUCUGGGAAUCCGUACUGCUGCAGCACCCCACGCACAACCCCUUUGCCCUCCGGUCCCCACGGUCCGGUCCACAGGGCGGGCUCCACAGCCCCUCCCUGAAGGAGGGGAAACCCUGCGUGGGUUUUGCCGCUGCCUUGCUGGCUGCUGCAUGCUGGGAACUUGCCGACAUCACCAUCCGGACAGUGUUCACGGCAACCCAGGGUUCGGACCGGCCAGCGAGUUGACCAGAAUCCUGCAAAUACUGAGUGACGAGCCAGCCGUUGGCCUCGGGUCUUUCCGAUUCCAGAGCCCACGUUUUUCACCGACAUAUGGGGCCAGAAGUGCUCCCUCUUCCGUUCCUCCUCUCUCCUCCCCAGCUCUUUGCCCACAGCCCAGCACCGCCAGGGCCCCUUGGACAGGCAUCUGAGAUGCCGUGUCACUUGCUGGGACUGUGAGAGGAACCUGGCUUUGGAGACGCCCCGACCUCAUGCACCCGCGCCCCCAGGAUCCGUAGUCCACCCCUGGUUUGGGAACCACCUGUCUGGGGAUGACACACGGAUGUUCCCUUCACUUCUAGCAGCUCAGACGUGCACCCAGGGUUAACCCUGAGCAUCACCUGCUGCAGAUGUGUGAGUGACGAUCACGCUGUGCCCGGGGUUACUGUCACACGUUUGUUCCAAGGAGCAUCUCUUCUGGGCGUCUGUGACCCUCACAGCAUCCUGAGAAGUAGAGCCUCACUUAGGCCCCUUGAACGGGGAAAACAGGCUCACAGUGAUUUUUGAAGCCAGAGGACUCCAGAGUUCCUUCAGCUUCUCGUUGACAGAUAAAGAAGCUGAAACCCAGAGAGCAGUGACCAGAGAGUGUGGGGCCGAGCUGGCACCAGAUCCCGGGCUCCCUCGGUCCCCAGGCCGGUGCCUAAACAGAAUGGCAGGCAUCCCACAGGCCAGUCCCGGAUGUUGGUGGUUUUUUGUUUGGUUUUGUUCUUUAG